Molecule: ribosomal RNA, 862 nt
Filed under: uncultured bacterium
Lineage: Bacteria
Description: bacterial SSU rRNA
Rfam family: Bacterial small subunit ribosomal RNA
Source: RNAcentral
UGAAGUUAAAGNCAUUGGCUCAACCAAUGUAUGCUUUGGAAACUGUUAGACUUGAGUGCAGAAGGGGAGAGUGGAAUNCCAUGUGUAGCGGUGAAAUGCGUAGAUAUAUGGAGGAACACCGGUGGCGAAAGCGGCUCUCUGGUCUGUCACUGACGCUGAGGCUCGAAAGCGUGGGUAGCGAACAGGAUUAGAUACCCUGGUAGUNCACGCCGUAAACGAUGGGUGCUAGGUGUUAGGUCCUUUCCGGGACUUAGUGCCGCAGCUAACGCAAUAAGCACUCCGCCUGGGGAGUACGACCGCAAGGUUGAAACUCAAAGGAAUUGACGGGGGCCCGCACAAGCGGUGGAGCAUGUGGUUUAAUUCGAAGCAACGCGAAGAACCUUACCAGGUCUUGACAUCCCGAUGCCCGCUCUAGAGAUAGAGUUUUUCUUCGGAACAUCGGAGACAGGUGGUGCAUGGUUGUCGUCAGCUCGUGUCGUGAGAUGUUGGGUUAAGUCCCGCAACGAGCGCAACCCUUAUUGUUAGUUGCCAUCAUUGAGUUGGGCACUCUAGCGAGACUGCCGGUAAUAAACCGGAGGAAGGUGGGGAUGACGUCAAAUCAUCAUGCCCCUUAUGACCUGGGCUACACACGUGCUACAAUGGUUGGUACAACGAGUCGCAAGCCGGUGACGGCAAGCUAAUCUCUGAAAGCCAAUCUCAGUUCGGAUUGUAGGCUGCAACUCGCCUACAUGAAGUCGGAAUCGCUAGUAAUCGCGGAUCAGCACGCCGUGGUGAAUACGUUCCCGGGCCUCGUACACACCGCCCGUCACACCACGAGAGUUUGUAACACCCAAAGUCGGUGAGGUAACCAUAUAGGAGCCAG